UAGAUUCUCAGUUUCUUUUCUAGAUUCUAACACUUUCUUUUCUAGAUUCUAACACUUUCUUUUCUAGAUUCUAACACUUUCUUUUCUGGAUUCUAACACUCUUUACUUCAUUUGGUUCUUUUACGUUCUAAACCAAGUGAGAAUCAAAUGAGGUAAAGAACCCAAAAGAGAUCGAAGAGGUAAAGGGACAAAAAGAGAUAAAGAACCUACAAGAGGUAAAGGAGGUAGAAAAGGUAAAGGGACGAAAAGAGGUAAAGAACAUAAAAGAGGUAAAGAACCUAAGAGGUAAACGAGGUAGAACAGGCAAAGAAAGUAAAAGUGAUAAAGGACCUAAAGAGGCCAAGGAGGUAAAAGAGGUAAAGAACCUAAGAGGUAAACGAGGUAGAACAGGCAAAGAAAGUAAAAGUGAUAAAGGACCUAAAGAGGCCAAGGAGGUAAAAGAGGUAAAUAACCUAAAAGGUAAAGGAGGUAGAAGAGGUAAAG
Poeciliopsis prolifica (blackstripe livebearer) is the source of this 483-nucleotide long non-coding RNA. RefSeq lists it as uncharacterized. The record is from RefSeq and is a predicted model, not a curated record. The transcript is spliced from 3 exons. NCBI's taxonomy places the organism in Eukaryota, Metazoa, Chordata, Actinopteri, Cyprinodontiformes, Poeciliidae.